GAUGAACGCUGGCGGCGUGCCUAAUACAUGCAAGUCGAGCGACCAGACGAGGAGCUUGCUCCUCUGACGUUAGCGGCGGACGAGUGAGUAACACGUGGAUAACCUACCUAUAAGACUGGGAUAACUUCGGGAAACCGGAUCUAAUACCGGAUAAUAUAUUGAACCGUAUGGUUCAAUAGUGAAAGACGGUUUUGCUGUCACUUAUAGAUGGAUCCGCGCCGCAUUAGCUAGUUGGUAAGGUAACGGCUUACCAAGGCGACGAUGCGUAGCCGACCUGAGAGGGCGAUCGGCCACACUGGAACUGAGACACGGUCCAGACUCCUACGGGAGGCAGCAGUAGGGAAUUUUGCGCAAUGGGCGAAAGCCUGACGGAGCAACGCCGCGUGAGUGAUGAAGGUCUUCGGAUCGUAAAACUCUGUUAUUAGGGAAGAACAAAUGUGUAAGUAACUAUGCACGUCUUGACGGUACCGAAUCAGAAAGCCACGGCUAACUACGUG
Molecule: ribosomal RNA, 497 nt
Filed under: uncultured bacterium
Lineage: Bacteria
Description: partial 16S ribosomal RNA
Rfam family: Bacterial small subunit ribosomal RNA
Source: RNAcentral